This is a long non-coding RNA of Numida meleagris (helmeted guineafowl), 607 nucleotides long. RefSeq lists it as uncharacterized. The record is from RefSeq and is a predicted model, not a curated record. The transcript is spliced from 5 exons. Lineage: Eukaryota; Metazoa; Chordata; Aves; Galliformes; Numididae.
GCUGACCCAGUUGCUACUGGGAAUUCGGUGAUGCAGAGCACGGAGGCAGAGAUGGGAUUUCACUACCCUGAGGAGAUGCUGAGCACAUUCAGAUGUCUCCAAAGACAGCAAGGUAAACAAGACUUGUUUCUGGCUACUGAUGGAAUUUCUAACUGUGGCAGUGGCAUGUAGCUCUGCCAUGUGUGCACCAAGACAUCACUCCUGCUUUGCAUUUCCUCCCUUCGACUGUCUCUGGGAUGGUACAUAUGGAACAAGAUGCUUCUUGGGAGGGCAUUCCAAGGUGGAAACUGUGGGGUACAUGGCCACAAGACCUACAGAGAAAAAUGGUAGUUUCAUAAGGGGAGAAGCUUAGCCAGCUCACGUUCUACCUUCUCUCUCUGCAUGUGUAUCUCACUAAGCUGUAGCCAGAAGCACUGGCUGGCCUGGGAGGUGUGCAGCAAUCUUUGGGACAUUUACAGCCGACAUAAUGCUGGAAAUGAUGUAGGUGCUGUUCUUUUUUUUUGAUGCUACCUGGAGAUAAUGCUCUUACCCUGGACCUUGUGAUGGCUGACAGCUUCUGUGGCAAAGACGUUUCUGCUAUCUUCAGAGUUUUGUAAUUUAACUUUCA